GACGAACGCUGGCGGCGUGCCUAAUACAUGCAAGUAGAACGCACAGUUUAUACCGUAGCUUGCUCCACCAUAGACUGUGAGUUGCGAACGGGUGAGUAACGCGUAGGUAACCUGCCUGGUAGCGGGGGAUAACUAUUGGAAACGAUAGCUAAUACCGCAUAAUAUUAAUUAUUGCAUGAUAAUUGGUUGAAAGAUGCAACUGCAUCACUACCAGAUGGACCUGCGUUGUAUUAGCUAGUAGGUGAGGUAACGGCUCACCUAGGCGACGAUACAUAGCCGACCUGAGAGGGUGAUCGGCCACACUGGGACUGAGACACGGCCCAGACUCCUACGGGAGGCAGCAGUAGGGAAUCUUCGGCAAUGGACGAAAGUCUGACCGAGCAACGCCGCGUGAGUGAAGAAGGGUGUCGGAUCGUAAAGCUCUGUUGUAAGAGAAGAACGGGUGUGAGAGUGGAAAGUUCACACUGUGACGGUAUCUUACCAGAAAGGGACGGCUAACUACGUG
Molecule: ribosomal RNA, 505 nt
Filed under: uncultured bacterium
Lineage: Bacteria
Description: partial 16S ribosomal RNA
Rfam family: Bacterial small subunit ribosomal RNA
Source: RNAcentral